GUGCUUGCUUCCAAAGCAUGUGCACUAAAGUUGGAACAAUACAGAGAAGAUUAGCAUGACUCCUGUGAAAAUUUGUGAAGAGUCCCAUAUUUUU
This is a small nuclear RNA of Cricetulus griseus (Chinese hamster), 94 nucleotides long. The record is from Ensembl. Lineage: Eukaryota; Metazoa; Chordata; Mammalia; Rodentia; Cricetidae.